GACGAACGCUGGCGGCGUGCUUAACACAUGCAAGUCGAACGGAAAGGCCCUGCUUUUGUGGGGUGCUCGAGUGGCGAACGGGUGAGUAACACGUGAGUAACCUGCCCUUGACUUUGGGAUAACUUCAGGAAACUGGGGCUAAUACCGGAUAGGAGCUCCUGCUGCAUGGUGGGGGUUGGAAAGUUUCGGCGGUUGGGGAUGGACUCGCGGCUUAUCAGCUUGUUGGUGGGGUAGUGGCUUACCAAGGCUUUGGCGGGUAGCCGGCCUGGGAGGGUGACCGGCCACAUUGGGACUGAGAUACGGCCCAGACUCCUACGGGAGGCAGCAGUGUGGAAUAUUGCACAAUGGGCGGAAGCCUGAUGCAGCAACGCCGCGUGCUGGAUGACGGCCUUCGGGUUGUAGACCGCUUUCGCCUGUGACGAAGCGUGAGUGACGGUAAUGGGUAAAGAAGCACCGGCUAACUACGUG
RNAcentral lists this ribosomal RNA (468 nucleotides) under uncultured bacterium. RNAcentral's name for it is "partial 16S ribosomal RNA". It matches the Rfam family "Bacterial small subunit ribosomal RNA", at positions 28 to 507 of the family's 1533-position model. The record is from RNAcentral.